Molecule: ribosomal RNA, 739 nt
Filed under: uncultured bacterium
Lineage: Bacteria
Description: bacterial SSU rRNA
Rfam family: Bacterial small subunit ribosomal RNA
Source: RNAcentral
AGAGUUUGAUCAUGGCUCAGAACGAACGCUGGCGGCAGGCCUAACACAUGCAAGUCGAGCGCCCGCAAGGGAGCGGCAGACGGGUGAGUAACGCGUGGGAACGUGCCCUUUGGUUCGGAAUAUUCCCGGGAAACUGGGAGCAAAACCGGAUAAGCCCUUCGGGGGAAAGUUUACGCCAAAGGAUCGGCCCGCGUUAGAUUAGGUAGUUGGUGGGGUAACGGCCUACCAAGCCUACGAUCUAUAGCUGAUCUGAGAGGAUGAUCAGCCACACUGGGACUGAGACACGGCCCAGACUCCUACGGGAGGCAGCAGUGGGGAAUCUUGGACAAUGGGCGCAGGCCUGAUCCAGCCAUGCCGCGUGGAUGACUGAAGGCCCUAGGGUUGUAAAGUCCUUUCGACGGGGACGAUAAUGACGGUACCCGUAGAAGAAGCCCCGGCUAACUUCGUGCCAGCAGCCGCGGUAAUACGAAGGGGGCUAGCGUUGUUCGGAUUUACUGGGCGUAAAGGGCGCGUAGGCGGAUUUUUAAGUCGGGGGUGAGAUCCCGGAGCUCAACUCCGGAACUGCCUUCGAUACUGAAAGUCUGGAGCACGGUAGAGGUGAGUGGAAUUCCGAGUGUAGAGGUGAAAUUCGUAGAUAUUCGGAGGAACACCAGUGGCGAAGGCGGCUCACUGGACCGUUGCUGACGCUGAGGCGCGAAAGCGUGGGGAGCAAACAGGAUUAGAUACCCCGGUAGUCCAA